This 2814-nucleotide unclassified non-coding RNA is filed under the name Hevea brasiliensis (rubber tree). Lineage: Eukaryota; Viridiplantae; Streptophyta; Magnoliopsida; Malpighiales; Euphorbiaceae. The record is from RNAcentral.
GAAGAUAGAGGUGCAAUAAGACUGCCAUUUUUGCAACCUCUUUCCUUCUUUCUUCUUUGCUCUGUUUCUGUUGAUUUUUAUUGAGAAAUGGGAAUCUGUCCUGGUGUGGAGAUGCUUCAGAAGCUCUUGGAGGCAUUUUUCUCUGGCCUUCUCAUGAAGUUCGGCUACGGCGGUGGAGGUGCCGGUGAGCGGAAGAGAAUUCGAGGCACGGUGGUUAUUAUGAAAAAGUGUGUCCUUGACUUCAAAGAUGUUAAGGCUUCGGUUCUCGAUCGAGUUCAUGAAUUCCUCGGAAAAGGCGUCACCAUUCAACUCAUUAGCUCCAAUCCUCCCCAAUCAGAUAGAUUAGAAGCGACCAAGAUAGGGAAGACGGCAAAUUUGGAGAAGUGGAUCUCGACGGUGAAGCCGUCGUUAACGGCGGACGAGAUGGAGUUGACAGUUUUUUUUGAAUGGGAAGAGAGAAUGGGAGAACCUGGAGGUUUUAUCAUUAAAAACCAUCAUUCUACCCAAUUUUACUUGAAGACAGUAACUUUGCAUGAUGUUCCUGGCUAUGGCUCUGUUCAUUUUGUUUGCAACUCUUGGGUUUAUCCGGCUCAUCGUUAUACUUACGACCGCGUCUUUUUCUCAAACAAGAGUUACCUUCCAAGUGAAACACCUGAGUCGCUACGGAAGUAUAGAGAAGAAGAACUUGUUAACCUUCGUGGAAGUGGCAUUGGUGAGCUUAAGGAGUGGGAUAGAGUUUACGACUACGCUUACUACAACGAUCUCGGAAUGCCAGACUCAGGCAAAAAGUAUGUACGCACUAUUCUCGGUGGCUCGAAGGAGUUUCCUUAUCCUCGAAGAGGACGUACUGGUCGAAAACCAGCAAAAGCAGAUCCAUCCUGUGAAUGCAGAUUGCCUUUAUUGAGUUUAGAUAUUUACGUGCCGAGAGACGAGCGGUUUCGGAACUUGAAAUUAUCAGAUUUUAUAGCUUAUGGUGUGAAGUCAAUUGUUCAGACAUUGGUCCCAGAGAUCAAAUCUUUAUGUGACAAAACUAUUAAUGAGUUUGAUUCCUUUCAAGAUGUUCUGGAUCUUUAUGAAGGAGGAAUGAGCCUACCAACUGAAGUAUUAGGCACCUUAAGGGAACUAGUUCCUUGGCAGUUGUUUAGGGAACUGAUGCGUUCUGAUGGCCAUCAAUUUCUGAAGUUUCCGGUGCCCGAUGUCAUCAAAGAGAGUAAAACAGCAUGGAGGACAGAUGAAGAGUUCGGUCGAGAAAUGCUUGCUGGAGUGAACCCGGUUAUCAUUCGUCGACUCGAAGAGUUCCCUCCAGCCAGCAAGUUGGAUUCUAAAACAUAUGGAAAGCAGAACAGUUCCAUAACAGAAGAACACAUAGCAGAACACUUGAAUGGACUCACUAUUGAUGAGGCUUUGGAAAUGAACAAGUUGUUCAUUCUGGAUCAUCAUGAUUCACUGAUGCCAUACAUCAGUAGAAUAAACUCAACAUCCACAAAAACAUACGCUACCCGAACACUCCUCCUUCUGCAGGACAAUGGCAUCUUGAAGCCAUUAGCAAUUGAACUAAGUCUACCCCACCCUCAAGGUUAUCAUCAUGGAGCUGUGAGCAAAGUUUUCACUCCAGCAGAAAACGGUGUCGAGGGAUCUGUUUGGCAGUUGGCUAAAGCUUAUGUUGCUGUAAACGAUUCUGGUUAUCACCAGUUGAUCAGCCAUUGGUUGAACACUCAUGCUGUGAUAGAGCCAUUCAUCAUUGCAACAAACAGACAAUUAAGUGUUGUGCACCCAAUCUAUAAGCUUCUUCAUCCACACUUCAGGGACACAAUGAAUAUUAACGCCAUGGCUAGACAAGUUCUCAUCAAUGCUGGUGGAAUUCUUGAAACCACUGUCUUCCCAGGAAAAUACGCCUUAGAAAUGUCAGCUGUUCUUUAUAAGAACUGGGUUUUCACAGACCAAGCACUACCAACUGAUCUAAUCAAGAGAGGAGUAGCAAUUCCUGAUCCAAGUAGCCCUCAUGGCCUCAAGCUUCUGAUAGAGGAUUACCCUUAUGCCGUCGAUGGACUCGAAAUCUGGUCUGCAAUUGAGAAAUGGGUUAGAGAUUAUUCUUCAUUCUAUUACAAAUCAGAUAAAAUGGUUCAAGAAGACACAGAAAUUCAAUCAUGGUGGACAGAGCUUCGCACUGUCGGCCAUGGGGAUUUGAAAGACGAACCAUGGUGGCCUAAAAUGAACACAAGAGAAGACUUAAUCCAAUCAUGCACUAUCAUUAUUUGGAUAGCAUCAGCCCUGCACGCCGCUGUGAACUUCGGGCAAUACCCCUACGCUGGGUACCUCCCGAACCGGCCGACGGUGAGUCGGCGGUUCAUGCCGGAACCAGGGACGCCGGAGUUUAGAGAGCUGGAGACGGACCCGGAGUUAGCUUACUUGAAGACGAUCACGGCACAACUACAAACGAUAUUGGGGGUGUCGCUGAUUGAGAGCUUGUCUCGACAUUCGGUGGAUGAGAUUUAUCUGGGGCAAAGAGACACGGCGGAGUGGACUAAGGAUGAAGAAGCUGUGGCGGCGUUUGAGAGAUUUGGGAAUCGGUUGAGGGAGAUUGAAGAGAAGAUAAUGAGGAUGAACAAUGAAGAGAAAUGGAGGAAUCGAGUUGGGCCUGUGAAAAUGCCUUACACAUUUCUGUUCCCUAAUACCUCCAAUUACUAUGAAGAAGAAGGCCUCAAUGCCAGAGGAAUCCCAAAUAGCAUUUCCAUUUGAAAAACCCUUCUUUCAUUUUUUUCAGAUUAUGUGAGGCUACAAAUUGGGUUUGAUUAAUAAAAUAAUGUUUUUUUU